AUGGCGGCGCUGAUGAUCGGUUCCUCCUCCAAGCCUGAGCUCCUCCUCCCCGCGCUGGCCUUCGUCCUUGCAUUCGUCGCCAUCACCGCGCUCACGACGCCGGCGCAGGGGCACGUGUUCCACGUCGGUGGCCCGCGCGGGUGGCGCGUCCCGGACGCCAACACCAGCUAUGGCUGGUGGGCCAUGAACAACCGCUUCCACGUCGCCGACGAGCUCUACUUCAAGUACGAGAACGACUCGGUGCUCCUCGUCUCCCGCGAGGAGUUUGACGCCUGCAACGCCACGGACCCCCUUUCCAGGUUUGCCGACGGCAGCACCACGGUGCGUCUCGAUAGGCCGGGCUUCUUCUGCUUCAUCAGCGGUGAGCCGGGGCAUUGCGAGGAGGGCCAGAGGCUCAUCGUGCGCGUCAUGGUGCACCCGGCCGAGCCUGCGCCCGCGCCUGGUCCGGCAGCCUAUGCGCCAGGCCAAGGCGGAGACGGCUCUGGGUCUGGCGGCGGGCACGGUGGGUCUUCACCGGGCACGUCGUCUGCUGCCGCUGCGGUUGCUGCUGGCGGCGUCGCUCUCGCUGCAGCGAUGGCCGCUCUUUGUGUCGGUCUCGUCUUGCUGCUUCAGUGA
This 615-nucleotide ribosomal RNA is filed under the name Triticum aestivum (bread wheat). RNAcentral describes it as "partial small subunit ribosomal RNA". Lineage: Eukaryota; Viridiplantae; Streptophyta; Magnoliopsida; Poales; Poaceae. The record is from RNAcentral.